AUUGAACGCUGGCGGCAGGCCUAACACAUGCAAGUCGAACGGUAACACGAUGAAGCUUUCUUCUUUGCUGUCGAGUGUCGGACGCGUGAGUAAUGUCCAGGAAACUGCCUGUUGGCGGGGGAUAACUACUGGAAACGGUAGCUAAUACCGCAUAACGUCGCAAGACGAAAGAGCGGGACCUUCGCGCCUCUUGCCAUCGUAUGUGCCCAGAUGGGAUUUGCUAGUAGGUGGGGUAACGGCUCACCAAGGCGACGAUCCGUAGCUGGUAUGAGAGGAUGAUGAGCCAAACUGGAAAUGAGACACGGUCCAGACUCCUACGGGAGGCAGCAGUGGGGAAUAUUGGACAAUGGGCGCAAGCCUGAUCCAGCCAUACCGCGUGGGUGAAGAAGGCCUUCGGGUUGUAAAGUCCUUUUGGUGGGAAAGAAAAGCAGCAGGUUAAUACCCCGCUGUUCUGACGGUACCCAAAGAAUAAGCACCGGCUAACUUCGUG
Molecule: ribosomal RNA, 490 nt
Filed under: uncultured bacterium
Lineage: Bacteria
Description: partial 16S ribosomal RNA
Rfam family: Bacterial small subunit ribosomal RNA
Source: RNAcentral